This 287-nucleotide ribosomal RNA is filed under the name uncultured bacterium. RNAcentral's name for it is "partial 16S ribosomal RNA". It matches the Rfam family "Bacterial small subunit ribosomal RNA", at positions 334 to 638 of the family's 1533-position model. The record is from RNAcentral.
CUCACCCACGGGGGGCAGCAGUGGGGAAUAUUGCACAAUGGGGGAAACCCUGAUGCAGCGACGCCGAGUGAGUGAAGAAGUAAUUCGUUAUGUAAGGCUCUAUCAGCAGGGAAGAAACAGACGGUACCUGAGUAAGAAGCACCGGCUAACUAAGUGCCAGCAGCCGCGGGAAUACGUAGGGGGCAAGCGUUAUCCGGAUUUACUGGGUGUAAAGGGAGCGUAGAUGGCGGAGAAAGUCUGAAGUGAAAGACCGCGGGUUAACCGCGGAAUUGCUUUGGAAACUUUUU